Molecule: long non-coding RNA, 387 nt
Filed under: Capra hircus (goat)
Lineage: Eukaryota; Metazoa; Chordata; Mammalia; Artiodactyla; Bovidae
Description: lncRNA (ENSCHIG00000008082.1)
Source: RNAcentral
GGCAAGACUGUUUCAAAGACUGAAUGGGAUUAAUUGACAUCUAUGAGACAUGGCAGCAACUCAUCCUCAAGAAAAGUGUUUUAUCACAGGCUCAAGAAAAACAAUAACAGGAUUCAUGACAAACUGAAAUGAUGCCAAGCAACAAUUAGAAAAGCUUCCUCCUCGUGCAAUAAAGGAGAUCAGUCUGUUCGGGAGCGCCUUCUUCUUGAUGAGAGCCUGUCUCUGGGAAAGGGAUUGAGCUUCAAGGAAUACAUAAAAGAAAGUAGUAAAAAAACACAACACAGCCCGGUGCAGUGCCACCUCGUCCCCCGUGACUGGCAGGACCCUCGCCCAGCAGCAGCCUCCGGUGUCCAAGCACCCGAUCUCAAGGAGAGGGUUUGUGAGUGA